This 2538-nucleotide ribosomal RNA is filed under the name Triticum aestivum (bread wheat). Its description in RNAcentral is "partial small subunit ribosomal RNA". The record is from RNAcentral. Lineage: Eukaryota; Viridiplantae; Streptophyta; Magnoliopsida; Poales; Poaceae.
AUGCUUCUGUGGUCAGCACAAACUGUUUACUUUGCUCUUCUUUCACAAGCAUAUGUGAAAGAAAGUCUCAGUAGCAUGACUCUCCGUGUCAUUUUUACCCUCUUAUUGUUGGUAUGUUUCUGUGAAUCUGAUGACCGCCUCACACCCGCGAAGCCACUCUUGCCGGGCGACAAGCUCGUCUCAAACAAUGGCAUCUUCGCUCUAGGCUUCUUCUCCCUGGACCCUGAGAACUCCACCGCCGCAAACUCAUAUGUAGGCAUAUGGUACCACGACAUCCCGGAGAGGACAUAUGUGUGGGUGGCCAACCGUGACAAUCCUAUCGGCAGCGGUUUGUCUGGGGAGCUGGUUCUCACCAACACCUCUGAUCUUGUCUUGUCAGACUCAGAAGGCCACAUCCUCUGGAGGACGACGAACAACGUCACCUCCGGGGGUGAUGGUGCCAUGGCGCUGCUGCUGGAGGCGGGGAACUUUGUCGUCCAGUUGCAGAAUUUCACGCAGAUAUGGCAGAGCUAUGAUCACCCGACCGACACCAUCCUCCCCAGCUUCAAGUUGUGGGCAAACUACAAGACCCACACAGCAGUGCGUCUCGUUGCUUGGAAAGGUCCUCUGGAUCCGUCCCCCGGGAAAUUCUUGCUCAGCCGUGACCCCGGCACAGGCCUCCAGAUCCUCACCUUCCGCGGGACUAGCAAGUACUGGCGCAGCGGGUUGUGGAACGGUGCACAAGCCUCGGACAAGAACGGAUACAUGUGGUCCCAGAACGUCGAUGACGGGGAGACCAUCUACUCGACGUACAACACGGGUAACAGCUCUGCCCGGAGAUCGCACUGGAAGCUGGACUACAAUGGCGACUUGAUGCUCAGGAUCUGGACUGGCCGGUCAUGGGUGCCUCUGUUCAAGCGCCCGGAUGAUGGCUGCCGCCACUAUGGCUCGUGUGGUCCGUUCGGCUACUGCGACAUGUUUGACAAGAUCAGCGGCGAGUGCAAGUGCCUCGAUGGGUUCAGGCCGGCAGACGGCUUCAGCGCCAACCCCUCCCGAGGAUGCGUGAGAAAGGAAAACCUGACAUGCCGCGGCGACCAUUUCUUGACUUUGCCGGAGAUGAAGGUGCCUGACAAGUUUGUGUAUGUGAGGAACAGAAGCUUCGAGGAGUGCACUGCUGAGUGUGAGCGUGACUGCUCCUGCACUGCGUACGCUUACACCAACCUGAGCAGCAUCGUCGCAACUGGUGGCCCAUCAAGAUGCUUGAUCUGGACAGGGGAGCUUGUUGACUCUGAGAAGGCCGGUAUGCUUGGUGGCAACCUCUACAUUCGGCUUGCUGGCUCUCCUGAACACAGUUCUGCAGUAAACACCACGAAGAGCGGUGUCAGUGUGGUAUUCAAGAUCGCACUUCCAGUUAUAACAUUCCUGCUGACACUCACAUGCAUAUAUCUUGUCUGCAUAUGCAAGCAAAAAGGGAUACAAGUAAACAAGGAAACCCUGAAAAAACCGACCCUGAAACACCUGAGCACUUCGCAAGAAGUUUGGGAUCAAAAUUUAGAAUUCCAGUAUAUUAUGUUCGAAGACAUUGCUGCUGCAACAAACAGUUUCCAUGACACAAACGUACUUGGAAAAGGAGGUUUUGGCAAAGUCUAUAAGGGAAUACUAGAAGAUGGAAAGGAAGUUGCUGUUAAAAGGCUUAGCAAGGGUUCUGAUCAGGGGAUAGAGCAUUUUAGAAAUGAAGUGGUUCUUAUUGCCAAAUUGCAGCACAAGAAUCUAGUUAAACUUCUUGGCUGUUGUAUUCAUGAGGAUGAGAAGUUGCUUAUUUAUGAAUACUUACCCAACAAAAGCCUGGACCAGUUUCUUUUUGAUAUUGCAAGGAAGUUUAUGCUUGAUUGGCCAAAGAGGUUCAACAUAAUCAAAGGGGUAGCUAGAGGACUUAUGUAUCUCCACCAAGAUUCGAGAACGACUAUAAUCCAUAGAGACCUCAAGCCAAGCAACAUCCUGCUAGACGUGGAGAUGAACCCAAAAAUAUCAGAUUUUGGAAUGGCAAGGAUCUUUGGGGGCAACGAACAACAAGAAAGUACCAGACGAGUUGUUGGCACGUACGGGUACAUGUCGCCUGAGUAUGCGAUGGAGGGCAUUUUUUCCGUCAAGUCGGACACCUACAGCUUUGGUAUUUUGCUACUAGAGAUUGUAAGUGGAUUAAAGAUCAGUUCACCACAUCAUCUUGUGAUGGACUUUUCAAAUCUCAUAUCAUUUGCAUGGAACUUGUGGGCAGAUGGCAAAGUGGAGGAUUUCAUGGACCCAGCCGUCACGGAGAGCUACUCGCUUGAUGAAGUGUCCAAGUGCAUCCAUGUUGGGCUCUUGUGUGUCCAGGACAGCUCCGGUGCUAGGCCUCACAUGUCAUCCGUUGUGUCCAUGCUCGACAGUGAAGCCAUGCCUCGCGCAGCGCCGAGGCAACCUAUGUAUUUCGCGCAGAUAAAUUACGAAACCAGUGAUGCGACAGAAGACCUGGAAAACUCUGCCAAUGGCGUGAGCCUUACGGCACUAGAAGGACGAUAA